CCUACGGGAGGCAGCAGUGGGGAAUAUUGGACAAUGGGGACAACCCUGAUCCAGCCAUGCCGCGUGUGUGAAGAAGGCCCUCGGGUUGUAAAGCACUUUCAGUGAGGAAGAACGCCUGGUGGUUAAUACCCAUCAGGAAAGACAUCACUCACAGAAGAAGCACCGGCUAACUCCGUGCCAGCAGCCGCGGUAAUACGGAGGGUGCGAGCGUUAAUCGGAAUUACUGGGCGUAAAGCGCGCGUAGGUGGCUUGAUAAGCCGGUUGUGAAAGCCCCGGGCUCAACCUGGGAACGGCAUCCGGAACUGUCAAGCUAGAGUGCAGGAGAGGAAGGUAGAAUUCCCGGUGUAGCGGUGAAAUGCGUAGAGAUCGGGAGGAAUACCAGUGGCGAAGGCGGCCUUCUGGACUGACACUGACACUGAGGUGCGAAAGCGUGGGUAGCAAACAGGAUUAGAUACCCUAGUAGUC
This 465-nucleotide ribosomal RNA is filed under the name Vreelandella stevensii. RNAcentral describes it as "partial 16S ribosomal RNA". It matches the Rfam family "Bacterial small subunit ribosomal RNA", at positions 338 to 795 of the family's 1533-position model. The record is from RNAcentral. Lineage: Bacteria; Pseudomonadati; Pseudomonadota; Gammaproteobacteria; Oceanospirillales; Halomonadaceae.